RNAcentral lists this ribosomal RNA (492 nucleotides) under uncultured bacterium. RNAcentral describes it as "partial 16S ribosomal RNA". It matches the Rfam family "Bacterial small subunit ribosomal RNA", at positions 29 to 507 of the family's 1533-position model. The record is from RNAcentral.
AGUGAACGCUGGCGGUAGGCCUAACACAUGCAAGUCGAACGGCAGCACAGUAAGAGCUUGCUCUUACGGGUGGCGAGUGGCGGACGGGUGAGGAAUACAUCGGAAUCUACUUUUUCGUGGGGGAUAACGUAGGGAAACUUACGCUAAUACCGCAUACGACCUACGGGUGAAAGCAGGGGAUCUUCGGACCUUGCGCGAUUGAAUGAGCCGAUGUCGGAUUAGCUAGUUGGCGGGGUAAAGGCCCACCAAGACGACGAUCCGUAGCUGGUCUGAGAGGAUGAUCAGCCACACUGGAACUGAGAUACGGUCCAGACUCCUACGGGAGGCAGCAGUGGGGAAUAUUGGACAAUGGGCGCAAGCCUGAUCCAGCCAUACCGCGUGGGUGAAGAAGGCCUUCGGGUUGUAAAGCCCUUUUGUUGGGAAAGAAAAGCAGCAGGUUAAUACCCCGCUGUUCUGACGGUACCCAAAGAAUAAGCACCGGCUAACUUCGUG